UACGGAGGGUGCAAGCGUUAUCCGGAUUCACUGGGUUUAAAGGGUGCGUAGGUGGGCAGGUAAGUCAGUGGUGAAAUCCUGUAGCUUAACUACAGAACUGCCAUUGAUACUAUUUGUCUUGAAUACCCUGGAGGUGAGCGGAAUAAUGUCAUGUAGCGGUGAAAUGCUUAGAUAUGACAUAGAACAUCUAUUGCGAAGGCAGCUCACUACGGGAAUAUUGACGCUGAGGCACGAAAGCGUGGGGAUCAAACAGGG
Molecule: ribosomal RNA, 255 nt
Filed under: uncultured bacterium
Lineage: Bacteria
Description: partial 16S ribosomal RNA
Rfam family: Bacterial small subunit ribosomal RNA
Source: RNAcentral